CGGGCUGUAGUUUAAGCGAGAUAAAACAUUAAGUUGCAAACUUGAGAACGAGUAGGACCUACUCCGGUUCGA
RNAcentral lists this transfer RNA (72 nucleotides) under Asteronotus hepaticus. Its description in RNAcentral is "tRNA-Cys". The record is from RNAcentral. Lineage: Eukaryota; Metazoa; Mollusca; Gastropoda; Nudibranchia; Asteronotidae.